RNAcentral lists this ribosomal RNA (375 nucleotides) under uncultured eukaryote. RNAcentral describes it as "SSU rRNA". It matches the Rfam family "Eukaryotic small subunit ribosomal RNA", at positions 587 to 972 of the family's 1831-position model. The record is from RNAcentral.
AGCUCCAAUAGCAUAUAUUAAAGUUGUUGCAGUUAAAAAGCUCGUAGUUGAAUUUCUGGGAGGGCGGCAAUGUCCGCUCGAUGCGUGUGCAGCGCUGCCCUUCCAUCCUUCUGUUAACGCUUCUCGGCCUUAACUGGUUGGUUGCGGGCUCAGAUAUUUUACCUUGAGAAAAUUAGAGUGUUUCAGGCAGGCUUGCGCCCGAAUACAUUAGCAUGGAAUAAUAGAAUAGGACUUUUGUCUCCUUUGUUGGUUUGAGGGACUGAAGUAAUGAUUAAUAGGGACAGUUGGGGGCAUUAGUAUUUAAUUGUCAGAGGUGAAAUUCUCGGAUUUGUUAAAGACUAACUAAUGCGAAAGCAUUUGCCAAGGAUGUUUUCA